This is a non-coding RNA of Coffea arabica (coffee), 2194 nucleotides long. Lineage: Eukaryota; Viridiplantae; Streptophyta; Magnoliopsida; Gentianales; Rubiaceae. The record is from RefSeq and is a predicted model, not a curated record.
GACAAAUUACCAAAUAUGCCAUUUGUCCAAAUUAACAACGCCUGAAGGCUAGUAGUCGUUUUUAGCCAAGCACAUUUCAUUUGUCGAAGCCGCACAAGGGUUUUUCCUUCCUCUGUUUCCUCCUCAGGGUUUUCAGGCUAUUGAAGAUGUCAAGGGUGUACGUUGGGAAUUUGGAUCCGCGAGUCACUGAGCGGGAACUUGAAGAUGAAUUCCGUGUCUUUGGAGUUAUAAGAAGUGUUUGGGUUGCAAGAAGGCCCCCUGGCUAUGCAUUUAUAGAUUUUGAUGACAGGAGAGAUGCACAAGAUGCAAUUCGUGAACUAGAUGGUAAGAAUGGAUGGAGAGUUGAACUUUCUCAUAAUUCUAGAGGUGGAGGAGGUGGUGGACGUGGAGGGGGUCGUGGUCGGUCUGGGGGUUCUGACUUGAAGUGUUACGAGUGUGGUGAGCCUGGUCAUUUUGCUCGUGAGUGCCGGCUUCGUGGAGGAUCAGGAAGGCGUCGCAGCCGCAGCCCUCCUCCCAGAUAUCGGAGGAGCCCUAGUUAUGGGCGAAGGAGUUACAGUCCUCGUGCGCGAUCCCCUAGGCGCCGCAGUUUGUCUCCUCGUGGUCGCAGCUACAGCAGGUCACCUUAUCGUGGGCGAGAUGAGGUGCCUUAUGCUAAUGGAAAUGGUCUCAGAGAUCGUCGCAGAAGCAGGAGCUGAGUGUAGAAAAUUCUGUAUUUGACUCAAUCCGGAAGUUUUUGCAAUAGUGUGUUUAAUAUGCAUGGAAUUAGUUACAACUCUGUAAUCGGGGUGACGUCCUCGGCUUCAACUCGUGGAUUUGGUUAAGUUUCUUUCGUACUUCAGUAUCAAGUUGGUGUCUACGUGGUUCUGCUUCAUUGGUUUUCUGCUUCUACACUCCCUGUUGGUUUCCUUCUUCACUGCCCUGCGGUGGGAUCUCCAAUUUGAAUGAUUGUGGAUCCCAACUGGCUGCGUUGCUAGAUGCUUCUGUUUCAUUGAUUCUGCGGCUAUGACGCCUCACCUCACUUGUAGUGGUAGAUCUUUAUAUUCUUUUAUGACAAGCGGCAUCAAAUACUUUUGGCAGGUAAUCUGUUCAAGAAAAGAUGGGGUCUUUUUUCUGAACUAAUAUUAAAAUAUUAUCUUAAUUGGGUUUAUAGGCUUUUCGAGUAACACCUAAGUUUGAAUCAUGAAAUAUGAUAUCCAUGUAGAAAACAGCCCCCUUUAGCUAACUAAAUAGAGCCUGAACUAGUUCUCUUUUUACCUGCUAAUUUUUUUUUGAAAUUCAUUUUUUUUUUGGGGUUCUGCAGCUGUCUAGCUAGUUUGUUAUCCUAACUAACUGCAGGAAAAAAUUAGCUUGUUUACUUGUUACUGCAAGCUUUCACUUUUUUGUGAUAAGAUCAGAUUACCCUCCUUGACCCCCCUUCAGCCAAACUUUGAGCACCUAAAUCUUUUGAUGAGAAGGCCUUUCUUGAAAUGGUCAUGUUAUUGUUUAAGUUAAACAUUGGAGUUUACUUGAAACUGUCUUCUGGACACUGGUCCAAAUAUGUCAUCCAAGAAUUAUUGGAUUUUCCUUCAAAAUUAUCAUGCUUUGUAUUAGUAGUUGUGGUGGAUGAAUUUUUCUAUAAAGGUAUUGUUGAACUUCUAAGAAAGGGGCAUAGAUAUAGAGGACCAGCGCUUUUGUCGGGUUGUUUGAGAUGAUUUGCUCGACUCUGCCGAGAUCUCAGUGUCUUGAUUGAGGUUGUCGCUUCGAUAGGACCAUCUGUGGUUGAUCAUCUGUCAUUCAUCCAGCUUUUUAUUUUACGGUUGGCAUCCAACUUCGGUUUUGUAACUCAAAUUGUUGCUGUAGGCAUUGUAAUCUUCUCUUCCAGUUUCUGAAAGCUCAAGCCAUCAAGAAUAACUUUACCAGCUUCUUGCGUUACAUUUGCUGUAGAUGUUUUGGCUAAGAGAUUUCCUUGUCUUGGAAGCAGUUUCUGAUUCUUUGUGCUCUGAAUGAUUUGUGCUGUUCAGUUUUUAAUUCUCACCUGAAUGAACAAUGACUACACAUUAAGAGUUCAGAAUUAGGAUUGAUUUUGGGGAAGAUGACCAACAUUUACUAGAUAGGGUAGUGGUGCACAGUUUUGCACAUUGGUACAUUAAAGUUGUUUAAAUUGCGUGGUAAAUCACGCAAAUAAUUUAUAUUCUAGUUAACCAAGUCGUGUAUA